Nematolebias whitei (Rio pearlfish) is the source of this 706-nucleotide long non-coding RNA. RefSeq lists it as uncharacterized. The transcript is spliced from 2 exons. The record is from RefSeq and is a predicted model, not a curated record. NCBI's taxonomy places the organism in Eukaryota, Metazoa, Chordata, Actinopteri, Cyprinodontiformes, Rivulidae.
ACUCCUCCUCUAGCUGAAAGAGAAGUUGGCCCAGGCAGUGGAGUUGAAAUUCAAAAUCCACCUGUACCAUAAGCUAGCCACAGCUCUCUCUCCUAGCCUGAGGAGUUUCUUGAGGAAAACGCUCUCCGGUCAGGAGUAUGAGGAGGUCAUCAACACCCUGGCAGCACUCACAGAAACAGCAGGGACAGAGGAGAGAGCGAGAAGCCUUGAGAAGAAACAGGGUCCACCCCGAGAGGCAGUUCCCAGUCCCACAGAGGUGCACGACUUCUUUUCCUUUUGUGUUGAAAAGCAGCAACAGGAGGGGGACAGUGGUGGUAUUUCAGAGUCAUGGGGCCGCCAGUUCGUGGUAGAGUACAUGAGUGACUCUAAGUUGACAGGCUUCCAGUCUCUGCUCAACUUCUGGCAUGAGAGGUCUGAUGGGCUAGUGCCAGUUGCCAAGAGGCUGCUAGCAAUCCCAGCAACAAGCACUCCUUCUGAGCGUAGUUUCAGUGUUGCUGGGAGACUGAUUGAGGAGAGGCGUUCCACCCUCAAUCCAGAAAAUGUAGAUGAACUUUUGUUCCUACAUAGCAAUUUAUAAUGACAACUAUUCAUAUGUGCUGAAGAGUGGAAAAGUAGACUGAUAUGCACGGUGGCUGACAGACACACAGCAAACAGUUAAAACGUGCUGCAAACACAGGAAUGAAUCAAAUUCCAAAACAAAAAAACA